GGGGGGGGGGGGGGGGGGGGGGGGGGGGGGGGGGGCGGGGGGGGGGGGCGGGGCGGGGGGCGCGCGGGGGGGUGACGCGUGGGAAGCUGCCCGUGGGUUCGGGGUAACGCCCCGAAGGGGGUGCUAAUACCGGAUAAUGUCUGCGGACCAAAGAUUUAUCGCCUGUGGAUGGGCCCGCGUUGGAUUAGCUAGUUGGUAGGGUAAAAGCCUACCAAGGCGACGAUCCAUAGCUGGUCUGAGAGGAUGAUCAGCCACACUGGGACUGAGACACGGCCCAGACUCCUACGGGAGGCAGCAGUGGGGAAUAUUGGACAAUGGGCGAAAGCCUGAUCCAGCAAUGCCGCGUGAGUGAUGAAGGCCUUAGGGUUGUAAAGCUCUUUUACCCGGGAUGAUAAUGACAGUACCGGGAGAAUAAGCUCCGGCUAACUCCGUG
Molecule: ribosomal RNA, 433 nt
Filed under: uncultured bacterium
Lineage: Bacteria
Description: partial 16S ribosomal RNA
Rfam family: Bacterial small subunit ribosomal RNA (bases 48-433)
Source: RNAcentral